Molecule: long non-coding RNA, 272 nt
Organism: Patella vulgata (common limpet)
Lineage: Eukaryota; Metazoa; Mollusca; Gastropoda; Patellidae
Exons: 3
Source: RefSeq, a predicted model, not a curated record
UGAACAAAUUAUUAAAAAAGCAGAACAACAAAUUAUUGAUGAGCAAUAUGAUGAGGAAGGAGCUAAAGAAUUUGAUGAGAAGUUAAUGCGACAUUUAGAAGUGAGCGACGAUCAACCAGUGGUUAUUAGCCAGCGGUUAAUAAAUAGUUUUGAAGAUAUAUUGCAGAGUCCUAUAAGUUUGGAAACUGCUGUAUGCUGUUUACGAAGUCUCUUUCAUAUGACAGUUACUCUGGAAAAAUGUAAUUGUUUCGAAAACAUACAAUUUAUCACCA